This 276-nucleotide ribosomal RNA is filed under the name uncultured bacterium. RNAcentral describes it as "partial 16S ribosomal RNA". It matches the Rfam family "Bacterial small subunit ribosomal RNA", at positions 202 to 475 of the family's 1533-position model. The record is from RNAcentral.
AGGCGGCGUAAGCUGUCGCUAUGGGAUGGCCCCGCGGUGCANUAGCUAGUUGGUAAGGUAACGGCUUACCAAGGCGAUGAUGCAUAGCCGAGUUGAGAGACUGAUCGGCCACAUUGGGACUGAGACACGGCCCAAACUCCUACGGGAGGCAGCAGUAGGGAAUCUUCCACAAUGGACGCAAGUCUGAUGGAGCAACGCCGCGUGAGUGAAGAAGGUUUUCGGAUCGUAAAGCUCUGUUGUUGGUGAAGAAGGAUAGAGGUAGUAACUGNCCUUUAU